UUGUAGCUACCGGGGUCUUGAGUGAGAAGAAUUUUCCGAUAGUUAUCAGUAAUUUCAAGAAAGGGUGCAAUUUCCCUGUUAUAAG
RNAcentral lists this transfer RNA (85 nucleotides) under Lactobacillus paragasseri. RNAcentral describes it as "tRNA-Arg(ccg)". Lineage: Bacteria; Bacillati; Bacillota; Bacilli; Lactobacillales; Lactobacillaceae. The record is from RNAcentral.